Molecule: unclassified non-coding RNA, 338 nt
Filed under: Cortinariaceae sp.
Lineage: Eukaryota; Fungi; Basidiomycota; Agaricomycetes; Agaricales; Cortinariaceae
Description: partial contains 5.8S ribosomal RNA, internal transcribed spacer 2, and large subunit ribosomal RNA
Rfam family: 5.8S ribosomal RNA (bases 1-71)
Source: RNAcentral
GUGAGUCAUCGAAUCUUUGAACGCACCUUGCGCUCCUUGGUAUUCCGAGGAGCAUGCCUGUUUGAGUGUCUUGAAAUCAUCAAACCCCUCCGGUUUCUGCUGGAGCGGGUUUGGACUUGGGGGUUUUUGCUGCCUCACGGUGGCUCCCCUUAAAUGAAUCGGUCGGGCUUUCGUGUGGCUUGUCCCUUGGCGUUGUAUCAACCUCGUCGCUGGAUGGCUCGCGAGUUUUGCGCCCCUCCAAGACCAGCCUCUGGAGCGGCGGUCAACUUCAAUUUUUGAUCUGACCUCAAAUCAGGUAGGACUACCCGCUGAACUUAAGCAUAUCAAUAAGCGGAGGA